This is a non-coding RNA of Schizosaccharomyces pombe (fission yeast), 214 nucleotides long. Lineage: Eukaryota; Fungi; Ascomycota; Schizosaccharomycetes; Schizosaccharomycetales; Schizosaccharomycetaceae. The record is from the annotation of a GenBank genome assembly.
UCCAAAUUGUUUCUAUUACGUUCGUUGAUACAGGCAAUUGUUCAUUUCUGGUAUGACUAAAGCAUUUCUAUACAAUUCAACUUCUCAUUUUUUCUAGCUGUAUUUAUGAUGUACAGAGCGUUGGGAGAGAGUUGAUUAAGUCAAUAGUAUUUAUGAAUGAGACAAGGAACACUCAUACUAUAUCAAUGAUAAAUAGCUUUUAUAUUAUCCUGUU